RNAcentral lists this ribosomal RNA (460 nucleotides) under uncultured bacterium. RNAcentral describes it as "partial 16S ribosomal RNA". It matches the Rfam family "Bacterial small subunit ribosomal RNA", at positions 338 to 795 of the family's 1533-position model. The record is from RNAcentral.
CCUACGGGAGGCAGCAGUGAGGAAUAUUGGUCAAUGGGCGCGAGCCUGAACCAGCCAAGUCGCGUGAGGGAAGACGGCCCUACGGGUUGUAAACCUCUUUUGCCGGGGAGCAACGGGCGCUACGUGUGUCGCCACUGAGAGUACCCGGAGAAAAAGCAUCGGCAAACUCCGUGCCAGCAGCCGCGGUAAUACGGAGGAUGCGAGCGUUACCCGGAUUUAUUGGGUUUAAGGGUUGCGUAGGCGGAGCGUUAAGUCAGUGGUCAAAUUGAGGGGCUCAACCCCUUCCCGCCAUUGAUACUGGCGCUCUUGAGUGGAAGAGAGGUAUGCGGAAUGCGUGGUGUAGCGGUGAAAUGCAUAGAGAUCACGCAGAACCCCGAUUGCGAAGGCAGCAUGCCGGCUUCCUACUGACGCUGAAGCACGAAAGCGUGGGGAUCGAACAGGAUUAGAUACCCGGGUAGUC